RNAcentral lists this long non-coding RNA (320 nucleotides) under Homo sapiens (human). RNAcentral's name for it is "non-protein coding lnc-MAN2A1-11:2". The record is from RNAcentral. Lineage: Eukaryota; Metazoa; Chordata; Mammalia; Primates; Hominidae.
UUAGGAAGUCACCAUCUUCGGUGGGGACCUUUCUCAGACAAUCUAUUCUUCCACAAUUCUCCUUGAGCAACCAAGAUAUUAACGGGGAAGACUUGAAGUUUCUAUGCUGCUUGAUCCAGAAUUUUCUCACCAUGGAUGUGGGGUUCUCACCUUUGAAGGAAUGCAUUGUGGACACAAACAAGAACUGUCUGUACUCUUGCAGGAAAUGGAAACGGUACAAACCAGCAUUUGAGUGAAUGAACACUGAAAAUGCAUGCUGCAACCAACCACUGGAUCAGGGUACAAGACAAAUAAUGGUUCUAGUGGAACUUGGGGGAAAA